Molecule: ribosomal RNA, 345 nt
Filed under: uncultured archaeon
Lineage: Archaea
Description: bacterial SSU rRNA
Rfam family: Archaeal small subunit ribosomal RNA
Source: RNAcentral
GGGCCGCGAGGGAGACUGCCGAGCUAGAGGGUGGAAGAGGUCAGCGGUAUUUCUGGGGUAGGGGCGAAAUCCUUUGAUCCCAGGAGGACCACCAGUGGCGAAGGCUGCUGACUAGGACACGCCUGACGGUCAGGGACGAAAGCUGGGGGAGCGAAUCGGAUUAGAUACCCGAGUAGUCCCAGCCGUAAACGAUGCACGCUAGGUGUUGGAGCGGUCACGUACCGCCUCAGUGCCACAGGGAAGCCAUUAAGCCUGCCGCCUGGGGAGUACGGCCGCAAGGCUGAAACUUAAAGGAAUUGGCGGGGGAGCACCACCAGGCGUGAAGCCUGCGGUUUAAUUGGAGUC